UGUUCUUCAGGGCUGGUACAGAGCUUGC
RNAcentral lists this non-coding RNA (28 nucleotides) under Mus musculus (house mouse). Lineage: Eukaryota; Metazoa; Chordata; Mammalia; Rodentia; Muridae. The record is from RNAcentral.